This is a long non-coding RNA of Oncorhynchus tshawytscha (Chinook salmon), 2000 nucleotides long. RefSeq lists it as uncharacterized. Lineage: Eukaryota; Metazoa; Chordata; Actinopteri; Salmoniformes; Salmonidae. The transcript has 4 exons. The record is from RefSeq and is a predicted model, not a curated record.
GCAACAGUACAGGCAGGGAAAAGGCUAGUAACGUAGUCCGGGGGAUUAGGCAAUAGGUAGAUAACAGGAAAUCCAACAGGCAAAAGGUGUCGUUAGUGAGGCUGGCAAAAACUAUCAUACAUAGGAGUAACGCACGGAAAACCCAGCGCUCUGAAAGACGUGUCACAAAACAAACAAUACCUCACAGUGAAGGGUUGCAAAGAACUGAACUAAAUGGUGUGUGAUAAUGACAUGCAGGUGAUUAGAAUUCAGGUGAUUGGGAUCUGGAGAGUGAGCUGCGUUCAGGGGAUCUUUGAGGGUAUGAGUUGGAAGCAGAUGUUACACAUAGGGCCCCCAGAUGGGGAUCAGCUUUACAUCCGAGGGGUUUUCUUACUGACCUCCAUCCAAUAACCCUCAAUACACAUCCUAGUGAGGUCAUGAAAUCUAGUGUCUGAUGCACUUCUUUCUAUGCUAACAGUUUGGACAAUGUUUUGUGUUAUGAUAACACGGAGAGGGAAUAUUUUAUCCCUCCCCUCCAGCAAAAACUCCUGAAAUGUGUGAGGUUAUCGCUUCUCAUAUUCCACACCUCGCCCUCCUUUAAAAGCUCCGCACUAUGGGGAGACAGACAGAUCAGAUUCGAAACAACAGAGGAAGGGGAAGAAGGCAACAAGGAACAAGCAACGUUAGUAUAUUACAGUAUGCCAUUUACCAAGAGCGAGGUCUCUCUGGCUGAACACAGUGUGUGUGCCGCUGAGUGUAACCUGACAGAUGAUGUACCAUUGAAGAAUAUCCAGAAGAACACCAUCACAUGGUGGUGCAACAAGCACCUGAAGUGUGUAAACAGGUUCAUAGGUGACCUUCAGUUUGACCUAAACGACGGGCUGACUCUCAUCGCCCUACUGGAGGUCUUGAGCCAUAAGAAGAUGUUCAGGAAGUACCACACCAGGCUCACAUUCAGACAGAUGAGGCUGGAUAAUGUCUCUGCUGCGCUCGAGUUUCUGGAACAGGAGAAUGUCAAGAUGAUGUCCAUAGGUAAGGUGACAUGUUGAAAUGCUCAGGGAUCAUUUUCAGUCUGUCAGCCAGGCCAAGUUAAGGAAGAAGAUAAAGUCACACUUCUUUGGUUACACUUUACAUGAGGUUGCAUGGUUGCAUUGUGCAGAUAGCAUAUUUAUUUUAAAUUUCUAGGUACCAUUACUUCUAAUUAUACAGUAUACAAUUUGGCCAGUUUUCUAUGAUUCAGUUUAGUCUUUGUUUAAUGUACCUCACAGUUACUGUGUACAGUCAUGUCAUUGCACAUGUUGCCACAAUUUUUUUGUUGUUAUAAAAGUGAAGACUAUAGGACUGUUUGAUUUACCCUGGGAGAUGUGCGAUACUGUUUGUGCUAGAUAACACUGGAUCUCCCAUCCAUUCUUGUGGGUAUAAUACGGUGCUGCCUCAACAGACAGUAAGGCCAUCGUGGACGGGAAUAUGAAGCUGAUCUUGGGGUUGGUGUGGAUCCUACACUACUCCAUUCUUCUCAUUUACUGGAGGACGAGGGCCAGGACAAGACCAAGAAACAGACCCCUGAGCUACGGCUGUUGGGUGGAUCCUAGACAAGGUGCACGAACUGCCUAUCACCAACUUCAGCCAGGACUGGCAGAAUGGCAUGGCUCUUGGGACACUGGUGGACGGACUGGCCCCAGGCUUGUGUCCAGACUGGGAGAGCUGGGACGAGGUACAGCAAGUAGACAAUGCCAGAGUGGCCAUGCAGCAGGCUGACGAGUGGCUGGGAGUGCCACAGAUUUCAUUUUAGGUUUUAACUUCUCGGAACAGCCUCUGGAGGGUAAUCUUUUGGCCUACAACAUCAUCGGGCAUGUCAUUGCCCCAGAGAAGAUCAUCGACCCUCGUGAGGAUGAGCAGUCCAUCAUGACUUACCUCUCCAUGUUCCCCAAAGCUCAACUGAAACCUGGAGCCCCCUGUCGUGUCUUUGGCUAUGCCGGAUUAAGUGAUGUGACAUGCUAUUCUAUAAAAUCAUUUCUCCG